CAGACCCUUUGACCUCCUAGUACAGACUCACAUGGGACACUAUAAUGAGAUCCAGGCAUCUGAUAUUUGACUGGAUCCUUCAGAGCUCUAAAGCACAGGCAGCUCUCAUACACUCUUCCAUACCUGACUUUGUGGACGGCCACGGCAGGCGCUGUGCCACUGAGCUAAAUCCCCAGCCCCUAGAAAAAAUUUUUCAACAUCCAUGUGGGACAACCUGAAGCCCAACAAAUUGAAGAAAAAAAUAACAGCAUCAAAAAAUAAAAUAAAUACAUAAAAAUGAGUACAUAUAAUUAUAAAAAUAGGAUAAAUAUUCAACUACAUUAUUGUCCCUUGGAUAAGGUCAGAGAGAAAAAAAUCUCUGGAGAACAUGAAACAUCCCCCAAGUAGCAUUAUUAGUAACAGGAAGUAGAGAUCUUAUUCUACAAAGUGCCAGCUGAGGAAUGGAAUCCAGCUGUUAGCUGGAGAAAUUACUACGAGCAAGAGGGCUUGGAAGAUGGAAGGGGCUUGAGCUUGACUGAUGUGAACCCUGUGUCCGUCAGCUUCUCCAGUAAUUUCUAAUGGUUGCCAUUCUAUCCUCUUACUUGGCACAGAAGUCUUGAUUCUGAUAAAAAAGCAUCACAAGACAGUUGACGCAAAGUCAUGAAGACUUUGAAUUCAAACUCCUGUAUUCUGAAGAAGACACACUUUGUUUUCCUAACUGUGCUCAUCAUUGGAGAAUAUUUUCUGUUGCUUAAAAACAGUUGAUCAGAAAGCUGCCUCUAUAGUGUCUCGAGCAGGAAAAUACUCGGUUGCAUAUGGCCAUUACCACCCUGAUGACUGUUGUUAUUUACCUUUCUGACGUACUUCUUGUCAGUCUCCCGUUUGAAGCACAUCUCUGAAAUGGAUAGAUGGAGCCCCCAGCCAUUCAAAUUCUGGCCUCAGGUAUGGUCUUUGCUCUGAAGCACAGCACUGGGGCCGGAGCUGCCAUUCUUUAUCUCUCAUGUGUUCAGAGAAUCUUUCUAUUUCCUGAAGUGUGGGGGUGGAUUGCAGGCAGCCAGAUUUUGGCAGAAUCUUUCUGUAAUUUUACGUUGCUUUGCUUAAACAGGGUUUGCUUUGUUGACACACAUUAGCCAUAUGGGAUCGGUUUGGAUGGUGCUGUUGACAGUCGUGUUUACUUUGCUGUUUGUGUAUGCCCCCUUCAGUCUAAAACAGAGCUGGGAGAUUCUGACUGCACGGCAAUAAGCAUAAUUUUCUUUCUUCUUUUUUCCACUUACUUCUUCAUAUACAGCUUGCUUCUAUUUUGCAGAUGCAGGGAAAUCGCUGAGGUGUGUAUCAGAACUGAUGCUGGGAAGUAUGCUUCAGAAUCUUCUAUUUUAAGAAAAACUUUAAGUUUCCACUGGUAUAACUGUGAAAAAACCCCAAAAGACAAAAAAACCAAGUGUGAAAAAUAAGCUAAUAAAAUGAGUCAAAGGGAAAAAGUUUUAAAGUUUGAAAAAGGAACGAUUACAAGUGUAUAGACAGGGGAAUGAUAUGACUGUUCUUAAUGACACUGGGAGUAAGUCAGACUAAGAACCCUAUUAAAUAAAAGAAAUAAAAGACACAGCACUACUACACAUUUAAGCAUAUUGCAAAUACUAUAAAUAUUUUUUCUGGCUAAGAAGAGGAAAUUAUAAUCAAAUUUUGGAAAGGAAGGUUAGAUGGUUUACAAUCUAUAAAUAACUCUGCAUGAUAUAUUAAAUUUUGUAGAUCAUAUCUUCCAAAUAAGGCAUUUGCAGGAAAUGGACUAGAUUCUCAGGAAAUAAGUCCGAAAAAAAAAAAAAAAAAAAACAGUCCAGGGUUUUAUAUUCUAGAGUUUCAUGUCAUGAUUUUCAGCACAGAUGUGGGGUAAGGGAUAUUUAUUUUUGUAUGUAAAAAUAAAUUUAUGGUAUUAUUCCAUUAAAAUAAAAUACUAAAACAGAUGAUAAUUACUCUCACUUAUUAAAAUCAGAUUAUUUUUGGUCACUUGCAGCAGGGAUGGGGAGAUUAACCAAAAAGGAACCAUAGGCCAGCACGUUUGCUGGAGUGAUAGAAACCUCUAUCCUGCCCACCAAAUUUUCAUUGCCAAUGUACAGAUUUUUCUACCAGGUAGUAAUUAUGCUCAGGAUGUAUUCUGCCUUCAGUAUUAAGUUCUUAAGUUACAUUUUAAGUUCUAAAUUGGUACAAUGAGGGAAGAAGGGAUCCUCAGUCUAGCCAUGUAGUUCUUAAUCUUUUUGAGUAGGAAGGCUUUUUAACAUCUGAGUUUCUUGAAUACACACUCAAAUGUAGAUAGGAAUCUGUGUUACGAGUUUAGGCUAGGCCCAUUACUCUGGUAGUAUAAAUCAGGCCUAAUUGGUCUGGAGAGAGAAGCUCUUGGGAAGUUUCUUGAAUAUCUGUCAAGAAAACUUACGUCUUGAGUGGAUGGUAGUUAAACAAAUGUGUACAUGUGUUAAAAUUCAUUAAUGGUACCUUUAAAAUAAAUGUACAUUUUAUUGUAAAUUAAUUAUACUUCUAUAAAGUGGACAGAACAAUUUAAGUUUAUAAGACAUAGGGGAGAUCAUACAUAUUAAGAAAACUACUAAGUUAGGGACAAUUAUGCCAUAUAUAAAAUAUGAACAGAUGCUUAACUUUUUGAACAUUAGAACACAUGGUCCUAUCAAAAUACAGUGCAGAGUUGUGGACUAAAACUGAGCAGCAUUUAACCAAGAAUUGCAUGUUUAUUUCUUUCAGCUAUCAUUCAUUUAAUUGACUGCUAUAGCUAAGUCAGAAUGUUCAGAGUCCAGAUUCCCAGGGAAUUUCCAAGGGUUUCUCUACAGGUUUUCACCACAAAAUGGCACAAUACUUGGGCAAAAAGAAAGAAAAAACUAUCAUAUUCAUUUUAAUGAGAUUAAACAUCCAAAUACUCUUGACUUCAUAUUUUAGUUUUCUCAGUAAAAUACAUAUCUUAGUAUACAGUUAUAACUAGGUGAAUGUUAUAGUCUUUUUCUGCUAUUCCAUUGCAGCCUAUUUCUCCUUGUUAACGGCAUUGCGCAGAAUCAAGUUAAAGCAAGCACAGUUGUGAUCCUGGGGUAGUGUCGAUGAGCUGCCUCCACUAAAACAGAUAUAACCAUUGAGAUUAUACCUCCCAGAGAAACUUUCCCGUAGAAUUGAAGUGGUAGUGUGACAGGCCCCAGGAUUUGGGCUAAGCAGAAGUUCACUGGAAGUGAGCUACUGUGUCUAAUAAAGCACCUUGCACAUAAUAGGUAGGAAAACAGUUUGAAAAUUUAAUGGAUAUCCACCAACUUCAACAGCCAGUUUAACUUCCUGUUU
Chinchilla lanigera (long-tailed chinchilla) is the source of this 3303-nucleotide long non-coding RNA. RefSeq lists it as uncharacterized. NCBI's taxonomy places the organism in Eukaryota, Metazoa, Chordata, Mammalia, Rodentia, Chinchillidae. The transcript is spliced from 6 exons. The record is from RefSeq and is a predicted model, not a curated record.